UGGUCUAGCACUUUUACCGGUGCCCACUGGUUCCAAGGCUGCUAGGAGAUGUUUAAAACACUGGUAAAACAUGAUGCAUGUCCAACACACAAAACAAUAGGUUGCAUAUCACCUAAACUUGUUGAGCUUUUCAGCUCAAAUCUAUCAACAACAUAGCGUCAAUUGGAACUGGUCAUGUCUUUCAAAAUGAGGUGACAUGAAACAAUUUUGUGUGCUACAAGCAUCAUUUAUAAUUUCCCUAAUGACUGUAGAGUAGUAGUAAGCGAAUAGUAGAUAUCCCAGAAAAUAGUAUCCUAUGCCUCAAUGAUAAUUCUGAUCUCCA
RNAcentral lists this long non-coding RNA (322 nucleotides) under Amborella trichopoda. RNAcentral describes it as "long non-coding RNA (ATRI_LNC003919)". The record is from RNAcentral. Lineage: Eukaryota; Viridiplantae; Streptophyta; Magnoliopsida; Amborellales; Amborellaceae.